This is a non-coding RNA of Cellulomonas sp. Root930, 222 nucleotides long. The record is from Rfam. Lineage: Bacteria; Bacillati; Actinomycetota; Actinomycetes; Micrococcales; Cellulomonadaceae.
ACACGGGAAGGAGGUGGUCCAGGACAUGUUCUAUUCCAGGACGCGUGAGGUGACUGUCCGCUAGUCGCCCGAAAGUACUCGGACGGAUUGCACAGACGAUCCGCCCGCAGGCCCACCCGGACCGGCGAGCGAAUCCAUGGCAGUCACCGCAGCCCGUGGGAGCCGCGACCUCGUCCUUCGCGGCAGGGCCUCUUCGGAGGCCUGGCCCACGGGCUGUUGCCU